This 677-nucleotide ribosomal RNA is filed under the name Escherichia coli. RNAcentral's name for it is "partial 23S ribosomal RNA". It matches the Rfam family "Bacterial large subunit ribosomal RNA", at positions 2180 to 2851 of the family's 2925-position model. Lineage: Bacteria; Pseudomonadati; Pseudomonadota; Gammaproteobacteria; Enterobacterales; Enterobacteriaceae. The record is from RNAcentral.
AUGGAGCCGACCUUGAAAUACCACCCUUUAAUGUUUGAUGUUCUAACGUUGACCCGUAAUCCGGGUUGCGGACAGUGUCUGGUGGGUAGUUUGACUGGGGCGGUCUCCUCCUAAAGAGUAACGGAGGAGCACGAAGGUUGGCUAAUCCUGGUCGGACAUCAGGAGGUUAGUGCAAUGGCAUAAGCCAGCUUGACUGCGAGCGUGACGGCGCGAGCAGGUGCGAAAGCAGGUCAUAGUGAUCCGGUGGUUCUGAAUGGAAGGGCCAUCGCUCAACGGAUAAAAGGUACUCCGGGGAUAACAGGCUGAUACCGCCCAAGAGUUCAUAUCGACGGCGGUGUUUGGCACCUCGAUGUCGGCUCAUCACAUCCUGGGGCUGAAGUAGGUCCCAAGGGUAUGGCUGUUCGCCAUUUAAAGUGGUACGCGAGCUGGGUUUAGAACGUCGUGAGACAGUUCGGUCCCUAUCUGCCGUGGGCGCUGGAGAACUGAGGGGGGCUGCUCCUAGUACGAGAGGACCGGAGUGGACGCAUCACUGGUGUUCGGGUUGUCAUGCCAAUGGCACUGCCCGGUAGCUAAAUGCGGAAGAGAUAAGUGCUGAAAGCAUCUAAGCACGAAACUUGCCCCGAGAUGAGUUCUCCCUGACUCCUUGAGAGUCCUGAAGGAACGUUGAAGACGACGAC